This 423-nucleotide ribosomal RNA is filed under the name uncultured bacterium. Its description in RNAcentral is "bacterial SSU rRNA". It matches the Rfam family "Bacterial small subunit ribosomal RNA", at positions 207 to 622 of the family's 1533-position model. The record is from RNAcentral.
AAGACCUUGCGCUUUUGGAGCGGCCGAUGCCUGAUUAGCUUGUUGGUAAGGUAAAAGCUUACCAAGGCUUCGAUCAGUAGCUGGUCUGAGAGGACGACCAGCCACACUGGGACUGAGACACGGCCCAGACUCCUACGGGAGGCAGCAGUGGGGAAUUUUGGACAAUGGGGGCAACCCUGAUCCAGCCAUGCCGCGUGAGUGAAGAAGGCCUUCGGGUUGUAAAGCUCUUUCAGCCGGGAAGAAAAGGUUGCGACUAAUAAUCGCAAUCCAUGACGGUACCGAAAGAAGAAGCACCGGCUAACUACGUGCCAGCAGCCGCGGUAAUACGUAGGGUGCGAGCGUUAAUCGGAAUUACUGGGCGUAAAGCGUGCGCAGGUGGUUCUGUAAGUCAGAUGUGAAAGCCCCGGGCUCAACCUGGGAACU